GACGAACGCUGGCGGCGUGCUUAACACAUGCAAGUCGAACGGAAAGGCCCUGCUUUUGUGGGGUGCUCGAGUGGCGAACGGGUGAGUAACACGUGAGUAACCUGCCCUUGACUUUGGGAUAACUUCAGGAAACUGGGGCUAAUACCGGAUAGGAGCUCCUGCUGCAUGGUGGGGGUUGGAAAGUUUCGGCAGUUGGGGAUGGACUCGCGGCUUAUCAGCUUGUUGGUGGGGUAGUGGCUUACCAAGGCUUUGACGGGUAGCCGGCCUGAGAGGGUGACAGGCCACAUUGGGACUGAGAUGAGGCCCAGACUCCUACGGGAGGCAGCAGUGGGGAAUAUUGCAUAAUGGGCGGAAGCCUGAUGCAGCAACGCCGCGUGCGGGAUGACGGCCUUCGGGUUGUAAACCGCUUUCGCCUGUGACGAAGCGUGAGUGACGGUAAUGGGUAAAGAAGCACCGGCUAACUACGUG
Molecule: ribosomal RNA, 468 nt
Filed under: uncultured bacterium
Lineage: Bacteria
Description: partial 16S ribosomal RNA
Rfam family: Bacterial small subunit ribosomal RNA
Source: RNAcentral